GAGCAUUGAAUACUGGGCUGGGCUUCAGCAAGACCGAAGGGCAGAUAGAGGCCGUGUGAGUCUGCGCGGAUCGGGAAUGGGACUCGGGAGUGGACUACAAGUCCCAGCAGGGCGUGCGGCCACAGCUCGCAGGCUCGGAUCGGGAUUGGGACAUAAGGCGGCGUUCUGAAAAGGGGAGAGUGCUGCACCCAGUGUGCUUCGUGUGCAUCCUAGUGGGACUUGCGGUUUCUGGGGGCGAUGUCUGGCUAUAGGAAGGAAUUGGGCGCGAAUGAUUUGGGGAUAAGGGAAAAUACUUCACGACUUUCAAGACGGAAGGUGUAUUGGCUCUUAGAAUUUGAAGUUUCGUGCUCGGGCACCUGCCCCGAGCCCUGCCCCUCCACCAGAGUUGUUACCACGGUUUACUUGUCCCGAGCUCCCGCGGGAUAGGUGCCGCAUUCUAUUCACCUUGGUUGAACCGCCCCGGCUUCUGCACACUUACUUGGCACUUCAUUCAUGUUGAAUGUAUCCUGCUUUCUCCCACCCCAUUUACUCGUUUCAUUACCUAAAUUUUUUCAACAAACUCGGUUUGCUGAACCGAAUUUUUUUUUUUAUUGAUAUGAUGUUGGGGGGGAGAGGGGAGAUUUCCUCAGGAAUAUUCCCUAUUUCCAUCUGAUGGAACCAGAUCUCCAAUGGCCGAGCUUCUGAAAGGCACAGACCAUCAUGAAAUCCUG
Molecule: long non-coding RNA, 710 nt
Filed under: Homo sapiens (human)
Lineage: Eukaryota; Metazoa; Chordata; Mammalia; Primates; Hominidae
Description: HSALNT0280560
Source: RNAcentral